RNAcentral lists this long non-coding RNA (780 nucleotides) under Homo sapiens (human). RNAcentral describes it as "HSALNT0111850". Lineage: Eukaryota; Metazoa; Chordata; Mammalia; Primates; Hominidae. The record is from RNAcentral.
AAAUGAGAAAAUAUUUUAUGAAUGCAAAAUUGGGACAUAGAGUCUGACCAAGGUUUCCUAUGGGAGUUUCAGACAUGGUAAUUAGAAACCAGGAAGACUGAGAAGGAAUCAAAUUUGCAGCAGCUCAGUAAGUGGUAGACUGGGAACAAGAAGCCAGUUCUCUGGGCUCUUGAAGCAAGGCCCUGCCACGUUGUCUUUCCCCAGGAGAGGACGUUCAGAGCAGAGAAAGUCUCUGGGGGUUACAUGCAAGGGACUUGAAGUUGGGAAAAAGGCUUUGAAAAAAUGAAGGAGAAAGAUGAAAUGUAUUCCAGGUCAUAAGACAUUCAUUCCAGAGAGAGUCCUGCCCCACCUCUGAGAAGGAAGGAAUGUACACUCAAGAGAGAUCAAGAAGAAUCUAAACAAACAGGCCCUUCUGCGUUUUCCCACAAGAGAAAAUGAUCUAAUUAACAUUCGAUCAUAACUUUUUGUCCAAUUAUAUUUCUACACUGCUGUUCAUACUUUAUUUAACCUAGGCAUAAAAAUUGACAAUUUUUAUUGUAUUUUUGGCUCUUCAUUCUGAAGGCUUCCAUGUAUACAUGUUAAAUAAAUUUGUACACCUUUUCUCCAGGAAACUGGGGAGGGAAUCAUGUUCCAGCAGUGAAGAACAAAGGCAGUUUUUUGGGGAUUUACAUACGCCAUCUCCUACAAAGUUAAAAAAUUUUCUUUUCCUGAAAGACUACAAUCAAGAUACAAACAUGUACAAUGGGUGAAGUGGAUUAACAAGUUUGUGUCAUGUUAAUU